This 356-nucleotide ribosomal RNA is filed under the name Megamonas funiformis. RNAcentral describes it as "bacterial SSU rRNA". It matches the Rfam family "Bacterial small subunit ribosomal RNA", at positions 1 to 341 of the family's 1533-position model. The record is from RNAcentral. Lineage: Bacteria; Bacillati; Bacillota; Negativicutes; Selenomonadales; Selenomonadaceae.
UUUUUGGAGAGUUUGAUCCUGGCUCAGGACGAACGCUGGCGGCGUGCUUAACACAUGCAAGUCGAACGGGGUGUUUAUUUCGGUAAACACCAAGUGGCGAACGGGUGAGUAACGCGUAAGCAAUCUACCUUCAAGAUGGGGACAACACUUCGAAAGGGGUGCUAAUACCGAAUGAAUGUAAGAGUAUCGCAUGAGACACUUACUAAAGGAGGCCUCUGACAUAAGCUUCCGCUUGAAGAUGAGCUUGCGUCUGAUUAGCUAGUUGGUGAGGGUAAAGGCCCACCAAGGCGACGAUCAGUAGCCGGUCUGAGAGGAUGAACGGCCACAUUGGGACUGAGACACGGCCCAGACUCCUA